AUUGAACGCUGGCGGCAUGCUUUACACAUGCAAGUCGGACGGCAGCGGGGUAGUGCUUGCACUACUGCCGGCGAGUGUCGAACGGGUGAGUAAUAUAUUUGAACGUACCGAUUAAUGGGGGAUAACCAAUCGAAAGAUUGGCUAAUACCUCAUACGCUCUGAGGAGGAAAGCAGGGGACCUUCUGGCCUUGCGUUAUUCGAGCGGCCAAUAUCUGAUUAGCUAGUUGGUGGGGUAAGGGCCUACCAAGGCGACGAUCAGUAGCGGGUCUGAGAGGAUGAUCCGCCACACUGGGACUGAGACACGGCCCAGACUCCUACGGGAGGCAGCAGUGGGGAAUAUUGGACAAUGGGCGCAAGCCUGAUCCAGCCAUGCCGCGUGUCUGAAGAAGGCCUUCGGGUUGUAAAGGACUUUUGUUAGGGAAGAAAAAGGAGAGGUUAAUACCCGUUUCUGCUGACGGUACCUAAAGAAUAAGCACCGGCUAACUACGUG
This 490-nucleotide ribosomal RNA is filed under the name uncultured bacterium. Its description in RNAcentral is "partial 16S ribosomal RNA". It matches the Rfam family "Bacterial small subunit ribosomal RNA", at positions 30 to 507 of the family's 1533-position model. The record is from RNAcentral.